CAGCUAGUUGGUGGGGUAAUGGCCCACCAAGGCGACGAUCAGUAGCUGGUCUGAGAGGAUGAUCAGCCUCACUGGGACUGAGACACGGCCCAGACUCCUACGGGAGGCAGCAGUGGGGAAUAUUGGACAAUGGGCGCAAGCCUGAUCCAGCCAUGCCGCGUGGGUGAUGAAGGCCCUAGGGUUGUAAAGCCCUUUCGGCGGGGAAGAUAAUGACGGUACCCGCAGAAGAAGCCCCGGCUAACUUCGUGCCAGCAGCCGCGGUAAUACGAAGGGGGCUAGCGUUGCUCGGAAUCACUGGGCGUAAAGCGCACGUAGGCGGAUUGCUAAGUCAGGGGUGAAAUCCUGGAGCUCAACUCCAGAACUGCCUUUGAUACUGGCGAUCUCGAAUCCGGGAGAGGUGAGUGGAACUCCC
This 412-nucleotide ribosomal RNA is filed under the name uncultured Alphaproteobacteria bacterium. RNAcentral describes it as "SSU rRNA". It matches the Rfam family "Bacterial small subunit ribosomal RNA", at positions 242 to 671 of the family's 1533-position model. Lineage: Bacteria; Pseudomonadati; Pseudomonadota; Alphaproteobacteria. The record is from RNAcentral.